UCCUGAUCCCGUGAUCCGCCCACCUUGACCUCCCAAAGUGCUGGGAUUACGGGCAUGAGCCACCACACCCAGCGCAUCUGAACUCUUGGAAUGACCACAGGGUGGAACUCGGCAAAACCAAGGCAGCCAGGGGUCUACUCUGAGCCUCUGCAGUCUCCACAGUGCUGGGUGCAGGGCAAGCUCCUUCCAGAAUGCUAGAAUCAGCAAUGAUGAACACAUGCUAUAUGCUGGGCAGGAUGUCAGCAUGGAUGUUCCUCAUCCCCAGGUGCCAACAGCAUCUCCUUGACAAGCGCCCACGUCCCUGCUUCCUCUGGAGGACAAGCUCAGGCAUCAAGAUGGGAGCAUCUCCGAGGCUCCAUGGAGACACCUGACCGUGGACAGCCAGGCGCCUGGAGAAGGUGCUCAACAUGGAGCAUCAGCCUACACAGAGGAUUCUUUCUCUGCAGGGUUUGUUCUGUGGCUAAAGGAGGGUAUAGAAAAUUAACAAUACACAGGUGGCACAGGGGAAGAUUGAGCCUUAAGCCAAUGAAAAUUCAAGAUAUGGGAGCAAAUGGGCUUACAGGAGCAUAUUUUGAAGGUAAUUAAUAAGUAUAGGGAGUACUUUGAGGGCAUAGGAAACUGAGUAAAGAUGAAAAUGUGGGCUGGGCAUGGUGGCUCACGCCUGUAAUCCCAGCACUUUCGGAGGCUGAAGUGGGAGGAUUGCGUGAGGCCAGAAUUGUAAGACCAGCCUGGGCAACACAGCAAGAUCCCUGUCUCUAGAAAAAAAAUUAUUUAAAAAUUAGUUGGGUGUAUUGCCAUGCACCUGUAGUCUCAGCUACUUGGGAGGCUGAGUUGGGAGGAUCAUUUGAGCCUAGGAGUUUGGAGGCUGCAGUGAGUUAUGAUUGCGCCACUGCACUCCAGCCUGGGCCACGGAGUGAGAUCUGUUUCAAAAAAACAACAAAAGGAAACUGUGGUUCCCCUUUUUAAAUCAGGCUUAAGUCAGUUCGUAGUGGAAAGAGGCCCAGUGUCUUCUAGGCAGUGACUUAGACACUGACACACCUAGCAAACUCGAUCAAUAGAAGGCUCAGGGCAGCCAACUCUGGCAGCGUGUCCCACUCUGUUCCCAAGAGAAAACGGCCUUAUCUGGGCCAAGGGGUCGUGCUAUCGUCAGACCAGCUGUCCAGAGCCUCAGUCUCGCUUUGCUCCAAUUCCCCAUCGGCUCUUCCCUAGUAUUUCAAUCCUGGGAGAGACGGGAUAAUUUUCACGCCUUGGAUAGGGCAUGAAAGCACCAGCCAUUGGAAAAAGGGCUCUCUAUGGCAAUUCACAACUGCUGACGAAUGCACCAACCCGGUGGGGCUGAACUCCUGUGAGCUGCCCCCGGGAGUCUGAGUAUCUCUAGAUGGAAAGAAAGGGAUGCCAGCACUGGGAGGACCAAGGGUACAGCCUUGACCAGAACCUGCACUGAGGAUGGCCAGGCUAGGAGGUCUUUGGGGCACCUGGUGGCCUUUUUCACUGCUGCGACCUUGCUCUCUGUUUCUUCAAACUCCUACAGCUACAAUUAGACCCUCUCCCCCAAGAUGUCCCAGCCACAAUUCUAUCUGGUUGAGUGGCAACACACACACACUCAUGCACACACACACUCCACAAUUUAUCUCCAAGAAUUAUGAAGUUUUCAUAUAAACCACAGAAUAUAUUUAAUUCAAAUUAAACAUGAAACUAGAAUAAUGUUCGGUCUUUAUCAAGUAGCAAUUACAUUGUUUAAAAAAAAAAAAAAAGAACAGUACAUUUCUGUCUACAUUCCGACAAUCCAACGAGGCGGCAUGGGUCACAUCCAGUUUGAUGAGGUGACAGAGCCAGCAGUCACCAUCCAUGGGCAUGGUUCUGAGGGGACUGGGGAGACACAGACCAUACAUGAUACAAAAUGAUUCUGCAGCAAGUCUGAAGGAGAGCAGCCUCCCUCCUAAUACAUAAGAAUGAACGUCCGGGUAGCAGAGAGUAGGCGACUUGCAUAAUGAGCGCAUUUUAUUAAAUAGAUAGUUAACGCACUGCUUCUUACUCAUUCCAAGUUGCUGUAGGUGCUGCCCGCAUUAACAGCAGGGACAAAAGCUUCCUAUGCGCGUUUCAGCAGGAAUACUCUCUCCACUCCAGGUACUUCUUUGUUUUGGAUUUUUUUGGCAUGAUUUCCUUCCCAUGUAAAGAAAGCCAACUUCUUCAAGACACAGGUCAUUCAGCUUCAGUGGUGGCCUCCAGGUUCUCCUUGGGCCGUGCAGAAGGCCAGGUCCCGCACAGUGAGGCCCUCCUUUGUCCUCCACUGAAAGCUUUUCACUGUUCGGUCUGCAAAGAAAGAGGUUCGCCUGCCCCUGCUCCACUCGCCAGGGUGGAAGUGGUGAAGGGCUGGGAAAGGGCUUUCUUCACAGGGCAGUGCUCUCGGUAUCAUUGUCUAUAUCCAGCAGGAUGCGGCCAGGCACGUCUUUGCUGGCUGAGUCUGAGUGCAUUUCAGGAAAGAUGCUGCGAUGCUGUUCUGAAACCCUGGAAUUGGAGUCUGGACAAAAACACGAGGAGACAUGGUAUCAAUGAGGGGUAACCCCCGAGAGGCCACCUGAGGGUGCUCUGAGAAGAAGAGAGGCUGGGAAGUUUCAGGGUCAGCCCAUGCACACAGGGUCCCUUGCGAGAGGCCUCAUCAGCUCUUAGAAGCCAAGUGAAGCCUUUGUGACCCCAGAGGGCAGCUGAGUAGCACAGCCUUGCCUCUGGGCUCCGAUGUUGCUUGCUAUGAGCCCGGAGCAGCCCUUGGAGAUGCAGCUUUUAAAGGAUUUGCUUGCUUUGAUGGAGGAAAGGAAGGCUCAUUCUUCCCAAGGCCUCUAAUGCAUGAGAUGAACCCUCCUGAUGGCCCCUGGGCUGCCCUGGGAAGAGGUCUCUCCUCCAGACUGCUGGGUUUUCCUCCUGUUACUAACACUAGGACCUCACCCUCAGCACCAGCAACAUUUGGGCCUGAAUUAUUUGUUGUGGUUGUCCUGUGCAUUGUAGGUGUCACCCAACAGAUGCCAGUGACAUGCAGCCUCCUCCCCCAGUGUGACAACCGAAAGUGUCUCCUGUACAUCACAGAUCACUGGGGAAGUUUAAACUAAAAUGUCUCCAGAUGCUGCCGAGUGUCCCCUGGGGAAUCACAAUCACUGCUGACUGACAUCACUGAGGCAGACCAAGUCUCCUGCAAACACUAACAUCCCCUUGUCUGUCUAAUACACCUCGAAUGCCAUUUUCAUGUCUUAUUAUGUUGGCUGAAAUUCCUUCAGCAAUAUGGCAAACAUAUGGUCCUCAUGCUGUUGUCCCCCUCUCCUAUGCUCUUCCCAGAGGCCAGUGGGUCUCAGAUUCAUUUAUGCAUGAACAAAUAUUUACUGAGCACCUCCCAGGUGCCAGGCACCAUUCUACCUGCUGAGGACGCAGCACUGAACAAGAUAGGCACAGCCUCAAUGAAGCCCACGGUCAAGUGGGCAGACCAAGGGGAUCCUAAUUAAGACAAAAGGGCUGGCUUCUCUAGUAGAUGUGGGUUCUGGCAAAUUAUGAGAGCUUCAUUAGGUAUUUUAGGGCUGGUGUAAGAGAGAAGAGAGAUGUUUUGUAGUUUUGCUUUGCUGGGUUAGAGGUAGCCAUGGCAGGCAGCAGUGAGGGAGUGGGAGGAGGAGGUGGUUUGUGGGGGCGUUUCACAGUUAGGCUUGAGAGCUGCUUUCCCCUACUUGCUGUGGUGCAAAAUGACAUCCUGUCUGUCCUUGACGGGAGCUAGUUUUGACUAUAUUUCUGUUCGACCUGCCCCUGUCUACGCAGGCACAGCUUGAAAACGCUGGUGCACUUUGGGGAAGCUCACUGCUUGGAGACUUGUUCCAGCUCCCACCCCUUCCACCUUCCUGUCCCUACAGUUCUGAGCUGUGAGAUCUAUUUACUCCCUGGGACACCCUUUUUCUCACAGUUACUCCUGGGUUGUCCCUCAAGGUUUCCUAUGCACCACAACUCAGAGAAAUUUCUAGAUUUAUGGAGGUGCCAAGGUGUCAAAGAGUUCAGGUGCUGAAUGUCAUUUCAGACAAUUCAGGUCUUGUGAUAACUAUAAAACCAAUGACACUGUGCAGAACUGCACCAGCCUAUGGUGCAGCCAAAGGUGGUCUGUAUGCACAGAAUAGGGGCUGUCUUGGAUUUGUCCUAAGCAGAACAGAAGUCAACGAAGGCAGGGACUGUGUCUGUCUUGUUCACAGUGUAUCCUCAGUACCUAAAACAGUGACCGGCAAAUAGCAGAUGUUCAAGAAAUUUUGUAGCUGCACACUUGGAUGGUUGGAUGGAUGCAUGAAGAGUCAUCUAGAGCAACCAUCUUUCCAAUCCUCCAUUCUUACAUCCUCAGGCAAAGAAGUAGCUGUGACUUGAAGACGACGUAUAAGAAAAUCACUGCAAAUGCAAUCCUUUCCCCAUUAUCUUGGCCCCCAAAAACAGAAGGGGCUACCAGCCCGUGUCUCUUCUCAGCCCAGAGUUUACCAGAAACUAUGGAACCAACGUGACUUGGCGGGGAACGCAUGAUGCAAAGGCACUGUGUAUACGGAUGAGAUUUCUACUUGUUAAUAUCUGUAUUCACAUGCAAGCUAACGCCUAUCAGCCACCAAGCCCCUCCACAGCUGCUCUCUUUUUCUUAUACAUCACAUAUACAUAAUUUUUAGAUUUGUGCCUCUCUGAAUUUUUCUAUUUAUGAUCCACACACAUUAUUUAUUCAAGGGGAAAAAAUGUGUUUUGGGGCGUAAAGGAAAUCCCUUACUCUGCCGCCCACCUGCCCCAUCUGGUUUCCCCAGCCCCUCUCUAUUCCUACAUGAAUCAGUCCCUGAAACAAACAAUGACUUUGUUUACACACAAAAAGUAGAAAGAAUUACGGCAACCUAUACAGAACUAGUUUUCAGAAAGAGACUUCAUCACAGUAGCUAACAUUAAAAAAAAAUUUUUUUUUUGAGAUGGGGUCUUGCUCUUUUGCCCAGGCUGCAGUGCAGUCGUGCAAUCUCAGCUCACUGCAGCCUCCACCUCCUGGGCUCAACUGAUCCUCCCACCUCAGCCUCCCAAGUAGCUAGGACUACAAGCAUACGCCACCAUGCCUGGCUAAUUUUUUUUAUUUUUGGUAGAGACAAGGUUUCACCAUGUUGACUGGGCUGGUCUUGAACUCCUGGCCUCAAGCAAUCCUCCCACCUCGGCUCCCCAAAGUGCUGGGAUUACCAGCAUGAGCCACCACACCCAGCCUCAGUAGCUGACAUUACUAUAGAGCACUUACUUACACCAGAGACUGUACUAUACACCCACACUUUAUUACAUCGUCUCACUGAACCCCCACUAACUAAUCCUAAGGCAGCAGAAAUAAGAAAGGGAGACUCAGAGGCUCUAUUCCUUGCCCAAGGUGACACAGCCAGUAUGGACCAAAGAGGAUCAAAGCCAGAUUGGUUGCACUCUGGCUCUUCGCAUUACAUUUUCCCUCCUCCCCAGAGGAGUCUGUAAAUCCCUGGGUGAGGGCCCUCAAAGACAUUAUCCGAGAUCAUUGUUUCAGUCUUACAAACACUCUGGUUUGUUGUAAAAAGGAGAAAAUGGUUAUUUCAGAAAGACACCUGUAAGAACCUGGUUUGUCUGAAACACCUCUAAAUCUUUCUGGCUAUGAACUCGUAUAUUAACUGCACUCCAAGAAGGGCUGGUUUCUGAGCAUAUGCUUGGAGCUAAGUUCAUACAAAAGAUAUUGUAUUUAAAAAAACAAAAUAGGCUGGGCGUGGUGGGAUGAUGGUGUGAGCCCAGAAGUUCC
Molecule: long non-coding RNA, 5782 nt
Filed under: Pan troglodytes (chimpanzee)
Lineage: Eukaryota; Metazoa; Chordata; Mammalia; Primates; Hominidae
Description: long non-coding RNA NONPTRT005976
Source: RNAcentral